Molecule: ribosomal RNA, 1184 nt
Filed under: uncultured bacterium
Lineage: Bacteria
Description: bacterial SSU rRNA
Rfam family: Bacterial small subunit ribosomal RNA
Source: RNAcentral
AGGGUGAACGGCCACAAGGGGACUGAGACACGGCCCUUACUCCUACGGGAGGCAGCAGUGGAGAAUAUUCGACAAUGGGCCACGAGCCUGAUCCAGCAAUUCUGUCUGCACGAUGAUGGUCUUCGGAUUGUAAAGUGCUUUCAGUUGGGAAGAAGAAAGUCGACGGUACCAACAGAAGAAGACGACGGCUAUAAUACGUCCGCAGCAGCCGCUGGUAAUAUCGUAUGUCGACAAGCGUUAUCCGUGAUUUAUUGGGCGUAAAGCGCGUCUAGGCGGAAAAAUAAGUCUGAUGUUAAAAUGCGGGGCUCAACUCCGUAUUGCGUUGGAAACUGUUUUUCUAGAGUACUGGAGAGGUGGGCGGAACUACAAGUGUAGAGGUGAAAUUCGUAGAUAUUUGUAGGAAUGCCGAUGGAGAAGUCAGCUCACUGGACAGAUACUGACGCUAAAGCGCGAAAGCGUGGGGAGCAAACAGGAUUAGAUCCCCUGGUAGUCCACCCCGUAAACGAUCAAAAAAAGGUGUUGGGCGUCGAACCUCAGCUCCCAAGCUAACGCGAUAAGUUAUCCGCCUGUGGAGUGUGCACGCACAGUGUGUAACUCUAAGGAAUUGACGGGGAGCCGCGCACAACGGUGGAGCACGUGUGUGUAAUUUUGGAGCAAAGCGAGAAACCUUUUCCAGGGUCCGACAUCGUAAGAAGAUCUCCACGAGAAGGAUUGGAGCCGGCUUUGCAGAUCAGUUACUCACAUGGUGGCGCAUGUGUUGUCGAUCAUCUCGUGUCGUGAGAUGGGGGAAUAUAGUCGCGCAGAGAGCAGCAACCCUUCAUUUAUUGUCUCGAUCCCAUAAAGUUGAGCACUCAAUGGGAGUACUGCCUGUGAUGAGCAGGAGGAAGGUGGGGAUGACGUCAAGUCAUCAUGCCCCUUAUGCGCUGGGCUACACACGUGCUACAAUGGGCAGUACAGAGAGUUGCCAACCCGCGAGGGUGAGCUAAUCUCUUAAAGCUGUUCUUAGUUCGGAUUGUAGUCUGCAACUCGAGUACAUGAAGUUGGAAUCGCUAGUAAUCGCAAAUCAGCAUGUUGCGGUGAAUACGUUCUCGGGUCUUGUACACACCGCCCGUCACACCCAUGAGAGUUGGUUGCACCAGAAGUAGCAGGCCUAACCGUAAGGAGGGAUGUUCCCAAGGUGUGAU